CCCCUUCGCCUGAUGACCUUUUCCAAUCACGAUGACCUCCCGUCGCUGCUGAAGGAAUUGGAAACAGUACUGGAGGAAUUGUGAUCUAUGGCAAGGGUGAUGGUGUCUAUGGAUGGUGAUGAAGGGUGACGAGUCUAAUGUCUUUCGUCAAGACAUGCAACAAAGUGAAGUUAUGAAGUUCUGGUCAAUUUAGCUUAUGCAUAAUGCUUGGACCAUUAGAUCUUAGUUACUAUUUUGUUUUGCAUUUCAAACUUCCUAGAUAGAUCAUGGUGAUCAGUGUAAUUUUGAUGCAACUCUUCUGAUAUUCUGAAAGGUGUGCUAAAUACAAUAGUUUAUGUUUCUUGGUCAUCCGUGGGUUGUGCAAUUA
This is a long non-coding RNA of Triticum aestivum (bread wheat), 367 nucleotides long. RefSeq lists it as uncharacterized. Lineage: Eukaryota; Viridiplantae; Streptophyta; Magnoliopsida; Poales; Poaceae. The record is from RefSeq and is a predicted model, not a curated record. The transcript has 2 exons.